CCAUGGCAUCAUUUUUUUUUUCAACUUAUGAUCUCAUAUUAUACAGUUAACAACAAUAGACAGGUAGGUGCAUUUACAAUUUGUGAAAAUUCUCCAUAAUUAAAACAAGCAUCUAACAUAUAUAGUUUUCCUUGGCCAGCACCCUUUCUUUUCAGUUUCCACUACUUUUUGAAGAUUAAUGAUAUUUUAUUUGUUUUUUUU
This 201-nucleotide long non-coding RNA is filed under the name Mytilus galloprovincialis (Mediterranean mussel). Lineage: Eukaryota; Metazoa; Mollusca; Bivalvia; Mytilida; Mytilidae. The record is from RNAcentral.